AUCUCAGAUAUGCCUUCGAUAAAGAAUCUGUUUAUCUUGACUUAAUCUAGCUUGUCCCUAAACAAUGGGAUGAUGCUCUGAUCACCGUACCUUGAGAACACAUUUUGGAUCAGUUUUUUUUUUUUUUUUUUGGUACCGGGGAUUGAACUCAGAACCUUGCGCUUUCGAGGCAGGCUGCAGAACCACUGAGCUAAAAUCCCCGGCAAGAGAACACAUUUUGGAAACACUACUUCACAUGUUCAUGAUGACCUGGGGAGAGUAUCUGGGAGCUAUAAGCCCCUGGGAUGCAGAGUCAGCAGGACAGCUACAUGGAGAUUCUGGCUGUGUCAGACUGCAGGAAACAAGUCUGUUAAGAGCCCCAGAAAGUGGAAAUGGAGAAUCACAAGAUUCACAAGAUAAGAAUCACCUUUGCACAGGACAAGGUGAAAUCACAGUGACUCCUCAGACCCAAAGCAGGCUGACAAGGAGGUAAAGCGGCUUUGCUUUUUUGUGGGACCCAAGUAUGCUCAGUGAGGUGAGCUGAUUAUUUUCUGCUGAUUAGAGUGGAAAAAGAAAUGGCAUUUAUUUGUGGAAACAAACUUGCAGAAGCAGAGGUGAGCGGGAUUCUUCAGUGAGUGGGUCAUUGAUGCUGGCCUCAAGGUUUUCAGCCCGUCCUCAGUGACUCCCAGCUACAGGCAGGACCCAGCAGCAGAAGAACCCUGGGAACAGACUGUGUCCCCAGACCCUGACUGCCUCCAGGGAUGUUCUUUCUAAUGCACCCAGAACACAAAUCAUAUGGCUUCACCGUGACAGUUAUAAAUUUCAUCCACCAUGGAGAGUUGGAGGCAGGCGAUUUGUUGGGUCCAAGUCAAAGGUUACAAAAGAAUUCUUCAGAUUUGGGUGAUUUCCACACCUAUUAGCAGGAAAUAGCCUCAGUCACAACAAUACACAGGAGCAGCUGGGCAAUGUGCUCCAGCCCUGGCCAGGCACUGCCAGUGACGCACACAGGGAGCUCAGGGGACACCCGGGCCAGGAGCGCCUUUGCCCUCAGGACCUCACCAGCUGCCACUGUCUCCAGGGUGCAGAAUUCCACGUUGCUAUCCUCUCCCUGUGAGUGGGACUGGCACCCUGGCUACCGCUCCAGCCAGAGGCCGGUGCACAGCCUGCUUUCCCAGCACCGGUCCCAGUGCAGAGGACGUGAACUGCUCCCAGUGCCCAGAAGGACUCCUGGCUGCCAUAGCACCACUCCCAGAGCAGAGGAGGUGAGCAACAUGGGCACCAGCAGCAACCCCCACCCCCACAUAAGGAAGCCACAAAACCAGACUUCCAGAUCACCUACAGCAACCCCAAAGGGAAAUGACAUGAAACAAUCUGAUACUCAACAACCUGGACUCUCUGAACUGGCAACAAAAGAGGAUCUGGAAAAAAUGAAAUCAGAAAUAAUUUCUCAGAUAACAGCAGAGAUUGUGCCCAUAGUGCAAGACAUGAUUAAUUAAUCUAGAGAGGACAUAGAUUAAAAAAAAUAGAGGAGCUGAGGAACAUGAAGGAAUCCCAACAUAGGAAACAAAUAGAAUCCAUAAAAC
RNAcentral lists this long non-coding RNA (1562 nucleotides) under Heterocephalus glaber (naked mole-rat). Its description in RNAcentral is "lncRNA (ENSHGLG00100046762.1)". Lineage: Eukaryota; Metazoa; Chordata; Mammalia; Rodentia; Bathyergidae. The record is from RNAcentral.